RNAcentral lists this ribosomal RNA (454 nucleotides) under uncultured bacterium. RNAcentral's name for it is "partial 16S ribosomal RNA". It matches the Rfam family "Bacterial small subunit ribosomal RNA", at positions 28 to 507 of the family's 1533-position model. The record is from RNAcentral.
GAUGAACGCUGACAGAAUGCUUAACACAUGCAAGUCAACUUGAACUUCGGUUUGGGUGGCGGACGGGUGAGUAACGCGUACCGAACUUGCCUCACAGUUAGGGACAACAUUUGGAAACGAAUGCUAAUACCUGAUAUUAUGAUUUUAGGGCAUCCUAGAAUUAUGAAAGCUAUAUGCGCUGUGAGAGAGCUUUGCGUCCCAUUAGCUAGUUGGAGAGGUAACGGCUCACCAAGGCGAUGAUGGGUAGCCGGCCUGAGAGGUUGAACGGCCACAAGGGGACUGAGACCCGGCCCUUACUCCUACGGGAGGCAGCAGUGGUGAAUAUUGGACAAUGGACCAAGAGUCUGAUCCAGCAAUUCUGUGUGCACGAUGAAGUUUUUCGGAAUGUAAAGUGCUUUCAGUUGGGAAGAAAAAAAUGACGGUACCAACAGAAGAAGUGAUGGCUAAAUACGUG